Molecule: non-coding RNA, 194 nt
Organism: Salvelinus sp. IW2-2015
Lineage: Eukaryota; Metazoa; Chordata; Actinopteri; Salmoniformes; Salmonidae
Source: RefSeq, a predicted model, not a curated record
AGUUGCUUCCUUGUGGUCAGGUGUAUAUAAGUGCUCCCCUUUCUCCAAAUAACAGAACCUACCAGAGAUUCCUUAUACAACAAGAGAAUAUCACCAUGGCUAUCUUGACCAUAUUUCUGCUUCUCAGCGCUGCCUUUGCUCUGGGUGAUGCAAGGGAUCUGAAUGACACAGAGAAUCAAAUKAUKGAGAAUCUG